UCCGAGUUGACCCCGGCAGUCUCCUAUGAGUCCCCGGCAUUAUCCGCUGGCAACAUAGGACGAGGGUUGCGCUCGUUGCGGGACUUAACCCAACAUCUCGCGACACGAGCUGACGACAACCAUGCACCACCUGUGAACCGACCGCAAGCGGGGCACCUGUUUCCAGGUAUUUCCAGUCCACGUCAAGCCUUGGUAAGGUUCUUCGCGUUGCAUCGAAUUAAUCCGCAUGCUCCGCCGCUUGUGCGGGCCCCCGUCAAUUCCUUUGAGUUUUAACCUUGCGGCCGUACUCCCCAGGCGGAGUGCUUAAGGCGUUAGCUGCGGCACCGAAAGGCAAGCCUCCCGACACCUAGCACUCAUCGUUUACAGCGUGGACUAC
This 376-nucleotide unclassified non-coding RNA is filed under the name uncultured Actinomycetes bacterium. RNAcentral's name for it is "uncultured actinobacterium contains 16S-23S intergenic spacer region". Lineage: Bacteria; Bacillati; Actinomycetota; Actinomycetes. The record is from RNAcentral.